UUGGAGGGCAAGUCUGGUGCCAGCAGCCGCGGUAAUUCCAGCUCCAAUAGCGUAUAUUAAAGUUGUUGCAGUUAAAAAGCUCGUAGUUGAACUUCGGGGUUUACCCAUUGGUCAGGCUUAAUUGUCUGUACUGGUGAGAUGAAUCUCUACCUUCUGAGGAACUUUCAUGCCAUUUAUUUGGUGUGAUGGGAAAUCAGGACUGUUACUUUGAAAAAAUUAGAGUGUUUAAAGCAGGCUAACGUCUGAAUACAUUAGCAUGGAAUAAUAAAAUAGGACGGUGGUCCUGUUUUGUUGGUUUCUGAAUCACCGUAAUGAUUAAUAGGGAUAGUUGGGGGCAUUAGUAUUCAAUUGUCAGAGGUGAAAUUCUUGGAUUUAUUGAAGACUAACUUCUGCGAAAGCAUUUGCCAAGGAUGUUUUCAUUAAUCGAGAACGAAAGUUAGGGGAUCGAAGACGAUCAGAUACCGUCGUAGUCUUAACCAUAAACAAUGCCGACUAGGGAUCGGACGAUGUUAAAUUUUAUUGACUCGUUCGGCGCCUUACGGGAAAC
This 547-nucleotide ribosomal RNA is filed under the name uncultured Diversispora. RNAcentral describes it as "SSU rRNA". It matches the Rfam family "Eukaryotic small subunit ribosomal RNA", at positions 548 to 1098 of the family's 1831-position model. Lineage: Eukaryota; Fungi; Glomeromycota; Glomeromycetes; Diversisporales; Diversisporaceae. The record is from RNAcentral.